AGGUACCCUUGGGAAUAGAAUGCAAAGCCCUUUUUCCCCUGACUGCAUUUUUGAACCUGGCCAAACACUGUGACUCUACCUUUCCUUGAGGAACAUCAUUCAUACACUCUAGUUAAAAAACAAUCAUGCAAAUCUGCUAAAAGGAGAUUGCAGGUGCUCCAUCACACAAGAAAAAUGUCCAAAGAGUGACAGAAGGAGCGACCCAGAGAAGUGUUCCUCAGCUGGUGCCCACUCACUGCUGUCAAAGUUCCAAGCACAUUUCACCCAUAAAUGGUUGAACCAGGACUUCCUCAUAGCACCUGGAGGCCCAGAGGGUGCCCUCUUCACUGCCCAUGUGUCCUGUUUGCUGUUGUUCAGUCUCCAGAGGCCUGUUUCCUGCCCUAGAGGUGAACAAGUCUGCGACAGAAUUAAUGAGCGAUAUCCUACUGAUG
This is a long non-coding RNA of Heterocephalus glaber (naked mole-rat), 431 nucleotides long. NCBI's taxonomy places the organism in Eukaryota, Metazoa, Chordata, Mammalia, Rodentia, Bathyergidae. The record is from Ensembl.